UCCCUGGUGGCUCAGUGGUAAAGCAUCUGCCUACCAAUGUAGGAGACACAGGUUAGAUUCCUGGUCUGGGAA
Non-coding RNA from Bos taurus (domestic cattle), 72 nucleotides. Lineage: Eukaryota; Metazoa; Chordata; Mammalia; Artiodactyla; Bovidae. The record is from Rfam.